RNAcentral lists this ribosomal RNA (253 nucleotides) under uncultured bacterium. Its description in RNAcentral is "partial 16S ribosomal RNA". It matches the Rfam family "Bacterial small subunit ribosomal RNA", at positions 524 to 776 of the family's 1533-position model. The record is from RNAcentral.
UACAGAGGGGGCAAGCGUUGUUCGGAAUUACUGGGCGUAAAGGGCGCGUAGGCGGCCUGCUAAGUCGAACGUGAAAUCCCCGGGCUCAACCCGGGAACUGCGUCCGAUACUGACAGGCUUGAAUCCGGGAGAGGGAUGUGGAAUUCCAGGUGUAGCGGUGAAAUGCGUAGAUAUCUGGAGGAACACCGGUGGCGAAAGCGGCGUACUGGGUCUUAUCUGACGCUGAGGCACGAAAGCUAGGGGAGCGAACGGG